This 461-nucleotide ribosomal RNA is filed under the name uncultured bacterium. Its description in RNAcentral is "partial 16S ribosomal RNA". It matches the Rfam family "Bacterial small subunit ribosomal RNA", at positions 338 to 795 of the family's 1533-position model. The record is from RNAcentral.
CCUACGGGAGGCAGCAGUGAGGAAUAUUGGUCAAUGGGCGCAAGCCUGAACCAGCCAAGUCGCGUGAGGGAUGACGGUCCUAUGGAUUGUAAACCUCUUUUGUCGGAGAGCAAGGCCCGCCACGUGUGGCGGGCAGGAGAGUACCCGAAGAAAAAGCAUCGGCUAACUCCGUGCCAGCAGCCGCGGUAAUACGGAGGAUCCGAGCGUUAUCCGGAUUUAUUGGGUUUAAAGGGAGCGUAGGUGGAUUGUUAAGUCAGUUGUGAAAGUUUGAGGCUCAACCGUAAAAUUGCAGUUGAAACUGGCAGUCUAGAGGACAGUAGAGGUGGGCGGAAUGUGUGGUGUAGCGGUGAAAUGCUUAGAUAUCACGAAGAACACCGAUUGCGAAGGCAGUUUACUGGACUGCAACUGACACUGAGGCUCGAAAGUGUGGGUAUCAAACAGGAUUAGAUACCCGAGUAGUC